GACGAACGCUGGCGGCGUGCUUAACACAUGCAAGUCGAACGGAAAGGCCCUGCUUUUGCGGGGUGCUCGUGUGCCGCACGGGUGUGUAACACGUGAGUAACCUGCCCUUGACUUUCGGAUAACUUCUGGAAACUGGGGCUAUUACAGGAUAGGAGCUCCUGCUGCAUGGUGGGGGUUGGAAAAUUUCGGCGGUUGGGGCUGGACUAGCGGCUUAUCCGCUUGAUGGUGGGGUAGUGGCUUACGAAGGCUUUGACGGAUAGCCGGCCUGAGAGGGGGACCGGGCACAUUGCGACUGCGAGACGGCCCAGACGCGUACGGGAGGCAGCAGGGGGGAAUAUUGCACAAUGGGCGGAAGCCUGAUGCAGCAACGCCGCGUGCGUGAUGACGGCCUUCGGGGUGUAAACCGCUUUCUCCGGUGACGAAGCGGGAGUGACGGUAAUGGGUAAAGAAGCACCGGCUAACUACGUG
Molecule: ribosomal RNA, 468 nt
Filed under: uncultured bacterium
Lineage: Bacteria
Description: partial 16S ribosomal RNA
Rfam family: Bacterial small subunit ribosomal RNA
Source: RNAcentral